RNAcentral lists this non-coding RNA (21 nucleotides) under Caenorhabditis elegans. The record is from RNAcentral. Lineage: Eukaryota; Metazoa; Nematoda; Chromadorea; Rhabditida; Rhabditidae.
UUCUACUCCAUUCUUGAUUCG